AAGGCGCUCAAGCAAGUGCUAUCGUAACCAACAUUUGGGGCAUUUGGUGGGCAAUCAAAGCGUAAACAAACAUUCGAGCAUUUCAAAUCGAGUAAAAUCGAUGUUUUGUGGGGAAGUGCGUAAAUGAUCGAUAAUUUGAGGGGUAGUGCGGUAAAGGGUACUGAAUAAACAAAAUGAUGCUGGCCACAGCUACAUGACGUCAUAGUAGGAAGCUGGUUUCUACCCUAACUGCUGUCAAACCGUUUGUUUGAAGCGAGUUUCGAGGCUAGUUUCAACGUUGUUGAACUGAAAAUCAAGUCAGUUUCAAACCUGGUUUUUAUACCAGGUUUGCUCAAACCCCCGUUGCUAAGUGCGAACCAAACACAGCUUCGUGGAAAGUUUUUGUUUGAUGAAACUACCCUGGGUCAGUUCCAGUUUUCUCAGGCGAAAAUGACAUAAAUAUGGUUACAUAUCAAAAUCUAAUUUCAUAUCCAAUAUUAUACUAAACCUUUUUUAGAAAUACUCGAAGAUUUGUUUGGACCGGCAAGUAUCAUCUUGAAAAGCUUUCAUCUUUCAUUGAAAGCCGCUAUUUGUAAAGGUCCACAAUAUUAUUCAACAUAAAAACAUCUGAACACACACUUUCAAAUCCAUUUCUGAGUGCCACGGUUGGCGUGGUAAUCGAUUUAAAGCGAUACUUGCCUGUCUGUGCUCGUGUUCGCAAAUAAACUUAUUUUCAACCUGUCGCAGUUGGCACUGAACCAGUCGUAUCAUAGUUACGGUGUUGAGAGUUUGUUGGCAUAAACAUUGUCCACCCGGUAUCAAACUCGUCGUUUUGCACGUGUUGUUGGUGUCUGUAGCAUUCUCGGCACUGCAGAGAAGACCGUCUGACCCGGCACCUCGAGUAUCCAUCUAAUCUCGCAGCUAGACGAAAGGCAGAUAAGAGAAAAAUGGCAUCCAACGUACCACGGAUUAAGCUAAACAACGGCCUGUCGAUUCCCAUUCUCGGACUCGGAACGUGGGGCGUAAGUACAGAAUUUAAUUACCUUUCCUUCUAGAAAUAUGACAGCAAUAGCGUGGGUUAGAAAUCGAUUGU
This is a long non-coding RNA of Malaya genurostris, 1072 nucleotides long. RefSeq lists it as uncharacterized. The transcript has 3 exons. Lineage: Eukaryota; Metazoa; Arthropoda; Insecta; Diptera; Culicidae. The record is from RefSeq and is a predicted model, not a curated record.